Molecule: long non-coding RNA, 612 nt
Organism: Cuculus canorus (common cuckoo)
Lineage: Eukaryota; Metazoa; Chordata; Aves; Cuculiformes; Cuculidae
Exons: 3
Source: RefSeq, a predicted model, not a curated record
GCUUUCCUCUGUGACCAGGAACACCAGAAUAAAUCUCCAGACUCCUUGGUCUGUUUCUCACCCGAUCUCCCUAGAAAGCUUCUUAUGAGUGACUGAUGCUUCUCCAUUUGAGAGCACUCUUUGGAUGGGUAAAGUGAUAUAAUCUGUGUAAAAGCAGAACCUUGAACCUUCAUCUCCAAACAGCUUCUCUCCUAAUGAAGGAUCAACUUCUGUUAAUUCUUUUACUCAGAGCAGUGAGGAGUAUCAGAACAUGGAAGGAACAGUACUUCUGUCUCAGUAGUGGGGAAGGUUAUCUCAGCACCACAAUCCGGAGGUUUGAGCCCAAGGUUCCAGCUAGCAAAUCAGCCAAGAAUAGCAGCCUGUACUUGAAGAUGGACUUCAGCCACCUCACGCUUGCCCAAAUGGGUUAGUGCCGGUCAUGCUCCAGCUUGACCCAAGUCACUUGAAAAUUAUUUCAGGUGUACACAUUUAAACAAGCCGCAGAUGUGUUUGGGGAUCACGAUGGAGACAAAAAUCAUGGGAACAAGGACAGCAUCUCUUGAAGGCUUCGCUGUAAGCAGAAAUCCUCAGCAGGGCACUCAAUGGUGCACUGUUUGCCACUGACCACAUUGG